CCGUUGCCGGCGACCGGCGCACGGGUGAGUAACACGUAUGCAACCUGCCCGUGGCAGGGGGAUAAGCGGGGGAAACCCCGUCUAAUACCGCGUAACGCGGCCUUGGGGCAUCCCAAGGCCGCCAAAGGGAGCAAUCCCGGCCACGGAUGGGCAUGCGGCGCAUUAGCUAGUCGGCGGGGUAACGGCCCACCGAGGCGACGAUGCGUAGGGGUUCUGAGAGGAAGGCCCCCCACACUGGGACUGAGACACGGACCAGACUCCUACGGGAGGCAGCAG
RNAcentral lists this ribosomal RNA (276 nucleotides) under uncultured bacterium. Its description in RNAcentral is "partial 16S ribosomal RNA". It matches the Rfam family "Bacterial small subunit ribosomal RNA", at positions 82 to 354 of the family's 1533-position model. The record is from RNAcentral.